ACGAACGCUGGCGGCGUGCUUAACACAUGCAAGUCGAACGGAAAGGCCCUGCUUUUGUGGGGUGCUCGAGUGGCGAACGGGUGAGUAACACGUGAGUAACCUGCCCUUGACUUUGGGAUAACUUCAGGAAACUGGGGCUAAUACCGGAUAGGAGCUCCUGCUGCAUGGUGGGGGUUGGAAAGUUUCGGCGGUUGGGGAUGGACUCGCGGCUUAUCAGCUUGUUGGUGGGGUAGUGGCUUACCAAGGCUUUGACGGGUAGCCGGCCUGAGAGGGUGACCGGCCACAUUGGGACUGAGAUACGGCCCAGACUCCUCCGGGAGGCAGCAGUGGGGAAUAUUGCACAAUGGGCGGAAGCCUGAUGCAGCAACGCCGCGUGCGGGAUGACGGCCCUCGGGUUGUAAACCGCUUUCGCCUGUGACGAAGCGUGAGUGACGGUAAUGGGUAAAGAAGCACCGGCUAACUACGUG
This 467-nucleotide ribosomal RNA is filed under the name uncultured bacterium. RNAcentral describes it as "partial 16S ribosomal RNA". It matches the Rfam family "Bacterial small subunit ribosomal RNA", at positions 29 to 507 of the family's 1533-position model. The record is from RNAcentral.